This 888-nucleotide ribosomal RNA is filed under the name Nematoda sp. SCN4. RNAcentral's name for it is "SSU rRNA". It matches the Rfam family "Eukaryotic small subunit ribosomal RNA", at positions 451 to 1364 of the family's 1831-position model. The record is from RNAcentral. Lineage: Eukaryota; Metazoa; Nematoda.
UGUUGAGUAUGAGAUAGUGACUAAAAAUAUAAAGACUCAUCCUUUUGGAUGAGUUAUUUCAAUGAGUUGAAUACAAAUGAUUCUUCGAGUAGCAAGGAGAGGGCAAGUCUGGUGCCAGCAGCCGCGGUAAUUCCAGCUCUCCUAGUGUAUCUCGUUAUUGCUGCGGUUAAAAAGCUCGUAGUUGGAUCUAGGUUACGUGCUGCAGUUCGCAAUUUGCGUCAACUGUAGUCGUGACUUCUAAUUUGCUGGUUUGAGGUUGGGUUCGCCCUUCAACUGCCAGCAGGUUUACCUUGAAUAAAUCAGAGUGCUCAAAACAAGUGUUUGCUUGAAUAGCUCAUCAUGGAAUAAUGAAACAGGACUUCGGUUCUUUUUGUUGGUUCUAGAACUGAUUUAAUGGUUAAGAGGGACAAACCGGGGGCAUUCGUAUCAUUACGCGAGAGGUGAAAUUCGUGGACCGUAGUGAGACGCCCAACAGCGAAAGCAUUUGCCAAGAAUGUCUUCAUUAAUCAAGAACGAAAGUCAGAGGUUCGAAGGCGAUUAGAUACCGCCCUAGUUCUGACCGUAAACGAUGCCAUCUCGCGAUUCGGAGGGUUUUUGCCCUGCCGAGGAGCUAUCCGGAAACGAAAGUCUUUCGGUUCCGGGGGUAGUAUGGUUGCAAAGCUGAAACUUAAAGAAAUUGACGGAAGGGCACCACAAGGCGUGGAGCUUGCGGCUUAAUUUGACUCAACACGGGAAAACUCACCCGGUCCGGACACCAUUAGGACUGACAGAUUGAAAGCUCUUUCUCGAUUUGGUGGUUGGUGGUGCAUGGCCGUUCUUAGUUGGUGGAGUGAUUUGUCUGGUUUAUUCCGAUAACGAGCGAGACUCUAGCCUGCUAAAUAGUUGGCG